RNAcentral lists this ribosomal RNA (253 nucleotides) under uncultured bacterium. Its description in RNAcentral is "partial 16S ribosomal RNA". It matches the Rfam family "Bacterial small subunit ribosomal RNA", at positions 524 to 776 of the family's 1533-position model. The record is from RNAcentral.
UAUGUAGGGUCCGAGCGUUGUCCGGAAUUUUUGGGCGUAAAGGGCUCGUAGGCGGUUUGUCACGUCGGGAGUGAAAACUCAGGGCUCAACCCUGAGCGUGCUUCCGAUACGGGCAGACUAGAGGUAUGCAGGGGAGAACGGAAUUCCUGGUGUAGCGGUGGAAUGCGCAGAUAUCAGGAGGAACACCGGUGGCGAAGGCGGUUCUCUGGGCAUGACCUGACGCUGAGGAGCGAAAGCAUGGGGAGCGAACAGG